UUUUUUUUUUUUUUUUAAGAGAAAUAACUGCAAUACCUCUGCAACGUUUGGGAUUUUUAGCUAUAGGAAAUUCUCGUGUUUCCUACACCACCGUCUGUGCAGAAAGCACUGUACACCUGAACAUGGAUUCGUAGGAACAGAAGAAAUUUAACAUGCCGUGAAGACCCGCUACUACUGUGACAGCUGCCCCCACCCCGUGUCCUCACAGACACGCCCAAACACCGCUUGGAAUUCCACCUCCAGACCCCCAGGGAAGGCGGGGGCACACUGGCCUAAAUGAGUCUUUCAGAGUCCUCUGCCAGAAUACUAAGCAAGGAAUGAACAUCCUCACAUCUGACAGGGCAGUCAGGAUGAACAGUGGCAAAUGCUGACGUGUUAGCAACUGGCUCUGGUGACACACAUGGGCAGCAAAUUGUAGCGGACACUCUUGGUACGGAGCCAAAACGUCAUGGUCUUUGUCCAUCACUGAGACUGUCACAAAAUGGAGGCUGAACAUUUCCUCUGGAACCCGUCCUGUGGAUGCCCUCCUGCACCUGUGGGUGAAGCUCGCCGCUUUUCCAGCAUGUACCUCUCCUAACACUCUGCCUAAAAGAGAUGGUGCAGACGGGACCCAUCUUCCAUCAUCGCACUCACUAGCUGGGGAAGCAAGAGGAACAAGAAUCGCAGCUCAGAUCCGGCAGAAGACCUGGCAUGAGAGAUGUUGAAAGACCCGUUUUGUUUUCUCAAACUUUCUUCUACCUGGAAGAUUUUAAUGCAGAUGCUAAAGUCCAGGAGCCACAAGCUCUGGUGAAGUCAAACGUGCAAAUGAAUGACCAUACCCAGUAUCAGUAAGGUGCCGUGGGAAGUGGAGAAAACAGUCCCGUCUCACCCUCUCCACCAAUCGAUUACAGGCCUUCUGAAAUCCUAGGCAGACAGCAUUUUUAUUUUCCACCCGCUAAUUAUGUUUCUGGAAGGCUGCACUCUUAGCAGUGUUUAUAGGCACAUAAACCUUCGUUUGGAAACCAUCUUUUAAAAAUCAAGUGACUCGGGGACCAAAUACCCUGAAUUCCAUCCAAGGGCUUCAGUCUUGAGUGUGGCCUGUGCCUCUGUCUGAACCUGGGCUUGCCAGUUUCUGAGGGGCCGGGACCUCCCCAAAACAUCCCAUGCCUGCAGCAUCACAGAAGGCUUCGUGCUGUCUGAGGGGCAGGGUGGAGAUUCCCCCCACGACCUCAGAACCAGUUGGCCCAGGACACCAACACUAGAAACCGAGCCACGCUUUUACGAGUUUGGCAUUACAUAGGGAUUCUUUCCGCUCUCCUCUCCUAUUCUGUGUGUUUGGUGAGGAGAAGACGUUGGUAGGGAAGACAGAAAUGAAAAAGGAAUUCUGAAGUUCGGCCUCAUCCCUCUUUUAAAAACAGCUCAAGGAGCACCUCUGAGGCUGUCUUCUUUCUCCAGGGUGUCUGGGUCAUUUUCCUGUCUCAGUCCUCCAGGUAACUCAGUUCUCCCAUGAAGGAGCCCCUGAGGGGAAGCCUCCCCACCUCGGACAGGGCAGGGACGCCUUCCCAAGGCCCUGGGUGGCCGCGACUCUCCCCAUAAGGCCACCCCAACACCCCAGCCCUCCCCUUCUGUGCACCCCACCCUCAGCGAACAGAGGAAGUGCCCACCAGCUUCUCUGGGGACAGCAUUUCUGUCCUCCGCUUAUUAGUGAAUGUACUUGGGGAACAGCAGGCCUUAGCUCAGACAGCCUCACAGGAGAGCUGGCCAGAAGCCAUACUUAGACGACUCCUCACACCCUUUUGGGGAACAAGGCAGAAUAAAUAAGUAAUAAAAAAAAGAAGCUAGAUACACGUCCCUUUCUGACACAGGAGUUAAUAACACAAAUGAAGUGCCCCUUCCACCUGGGUUAUAGAUCUUCAAAUUCAAGAUGGUUCCUGUACCCUGCACCGCCCUUCAGCCACUCCAAUUAAUCAAUUCACGGCUUUCCAGCGCUCCAGUUCCUCAUGUUUUCAAGUCAGGCCACCUCCCUUCCCCCAAUCUUUUUUUCAUCAUCUGUUUCCCUGGGAAGUGCUCCAAAGCACUUCCUGUUUCUUGAUCAGGGUGGCCACAGAUUUUCUAGAAAGUUCUGUGGCUGGUGAGGAAAGAACAUGGCUAUCAGAGGAAAAUGCAGAGCUCCUAGGCAGGCCAGCAAUGAAGGCGGCUCUACAGCCGAAAUGGCCAAGUCAGGUUUUUCAAUGCAAAAUGGUAGUUACUGGAAGUCAGGUAGCUACACAUGCUAAAGAGCUCAAGUGUUCCCACUUCUUGUUUGUUUGCUUUAAAUGCUUCUGGCUGGGCAUGGUGGCUCACACCUGUAAUCCCAGCACUUUGGGAGGCCGAGGCAGGCAGAUGACUUGAGGUCAGGAGUUCAAGACCAGCCC
Molecule: long non-coding RNA, 2393 nt
Filed under: Macaca fascicularis (crab-eating macaque)
Lineage: Eukaryota; Metazoa; Chordata; Mammalia; Primates; Cercopithecidae
Description: lncRNA (ENSMFAG00000057934.1)
Source: RNAcentral